GCCGGGCAUGGUGGCACAUGCCUGUAGUCCCAGCUACUUGGGAGGCUGAGGCGGGAGAAUCGCUUGAGCCCGGGAGGCGGAAGUUGCAGUGAGCCGAGAUCGCGCCACUGCACUCUAGCCUGGGCGACAGAGUGAGACUCCGUCUCAA
Non-coding RNA from Pan troglodytes (chimpanzee), 148 nucleotides. It matches the Rfam family "Metazoan signal recognition particle RNA". From Rfam's summary of the family: The signal recognition particle (SRP) is a universally conserved ribonucleoprotein. It is involved in the co-translational targeting of proteins to membranes. The eukaryotic SRP consists of a 300-nucleotide 7S RNA and six proteins: SRPs 72, 68, 54, 19, 14, and 9. The record is from Rfam. NCBI's taxonomy places the organism in Eukaryota, Metazoa, Chordata, Mammalia, Primates, Hominidae.